UGUGUGUGUGUGUGUGUGUGUGUGUGUGUGUGUGAGUGUGAGUGUAAGUGUGAGUGUGUGAGUGUGUGAGUAAGCGAGAUGAUACUUUCAAGAUCAGCAUGAUAUCAAAGAGAACUAUAACAUGAUCAGUGAUGAUAAUGGCUGAUGAAGAGUAAGACCACCAUUAUUGACAUGGAUGGAUACAGUAGCUGCUAAUCAUGACAACUUGUGUUUUAACAAAGCUAUGUGUGGCAAAAGGAUAACCAACUCCAUGCAAUUGGAACUUUUUUUUUAUCAGUUUAAUUGAACAGACUGCUAAUCACUAGGCCAUAUAAACCACUUAAACUACCUUAUCUCUAUUGUAUUAGCGCAACAAAUCCAACACAAAAGAUAUUAGGACACCUAAGGUCUUCCAAACAAUAUGAAUAAAGGAAAGUUCGCAUUUUCCUUCUUUUAAUGUCCACGGUCAGUAAAUUUAAUUAAUAAAGUAUUUCUGACACCAAAUAACUGAGUCCAGUACGAAAAACUAAUCCAACCAAGCUUUAAGGGCAGAGUGUAAAUUACCCUAGCAGCAAUAUGAAAUUUCAGAGGAAGAAACACUAAAUAUCACGUGCACCGAAUAGGCAAUCCUCUUUGUUUAAGACAAAAAAGUAACAAACCACUUACAUUUCCACAGCUAAAUAUGUAUGCAUUGAACAAUGCUUUUGCCUCCGACAUUCCAAAUAUUACCUAAGAAUGAUACACUAUAGAAUUUUCCAGAAUUGUCCUACCAUUUAAUACUACCAGAAAACUAAAUUUCUAGGCUUGUCUGAAAAAUAAAAAUCAAACUUACAUUUCCAGCUUGGAUUAAUUCAAAUCAAACCCUAGAGGCCUAAACAAACGCAAGGGCAAAUCCAACAUACUUUAACCACAUCCCUGAUGCAUUGUUUCGUUCAACAAUUGAUCAUAUUCCAUCAAUUUUAGGAAAUAAACCCACCAGAUAUUGAAAACUCUAACAAUAAGACAGUAUAGGAGAGAUGAUAUAUACCGAAGGAGAUAAAAAUUAGUAAAAACUAACAAUAAACUAUGAACCUGUACCCAGUCUCGCUGAAUAUCUGAUGGAACCUUCAGUGGCUAAAUUCGAGAGGUUAAACAACCCUCAAAUUCGAAACCCCUAGGUCAUAGAUUUUG
RNAcentral lists this long non-coding RNA (1149 nucleotides) under Panax ginseng (ginseng). Its description in RNAcentral is "long non-coding RNA (PGIN_LNC007675)". Lineage: Eukaryota; Viridiplantae; Streptophyta; Magnoliopsida; Apiales; Araliaceae. The record is from RNAcentral.